RNAcentral lists this unclassified non-coding RNA (18 nucleotides) under Chlamydomonas reinhardtii. Its description in RNAcentral is "small RNA Cre_3245". Lineage: Eukaryota; Viridiplantae; Chlorophyta; Chlorophyceae; Chlamydomonadales; Chlamydomonadaceae. The record is from RNAcentral.
UGGAGCGCAAUGUGGCGG